Molecule: transfer RNA, 72 nt
Filed under: Ictidomys tridecemlineatus (thirteen-lined ground squirrel)
Lineage: Eukaryota; Metazoa; Chordata; Mammalia; Rodentia; Sciuridae
Description: Spermophilus tridecemlineatus (thirteen-lined ground squirrel) tRNA
Rfam family: tRNA
About the family: Transfer RNA (tRNA) molecules are approximately 80 nucleotides in length. Their secondary structure includes four short double-helical elements and three loops (D, anti-codon, and T loops).
Source: Rfam by way of RNAcentral
GGAGAAGUAGCUCAGUGGUAAAGCACUUGCCUAGUGUGCAUGAGGCCCUGAGUUCAAUCCCCAGCAUCGCAA